This 253-nucleotide ribosomal RNA is filed under the name uncultured bacterium. RNAcentral's name for it is "partial 16S ribosomal RNA". It matches the Rfam family "Bacterial small subunit ribosomal RNA", at positions 524 to 776 of the family's 1533-position model. The record is from RNAcentral.
GACGUAGGGCGCAAGCGUUGUCCGGAUUUAUUGGGCGUAAAGAGCUCGUAGGCGGCUUGUUGCGUCGGCUGUGAAAACCCGCGGCUUAACCGUGGGCUUGCAGCCGAUACGGGCGGGCUGGAGUUCGGUAGGGGAGACUGGAAUUCCUGGUGUAGCGGUGAAAUGCGCAGAUAUCAGGAGGAACACCAGUGGCGAAGGCGACUUCCUGGCCUGUUCUUGACGCUGAGGCGCGAAAGCUAGGGGAGCAAACGGG